GACGAACGCUGGCGGCGUGCCUAAUACAUGCAAGUAGAACGCUGAAGGAGGAGCUUGCUUCUCUGGAUGAGUUGCGAACGGGUGAGUAACGCGUAGGUAACCUGCCUGGUAGCGGGGGAUAACUAUUGGAAACGAUAGCUAAUACCGCAUAAUAGCAGUUGUUGCAUGACAACUGUUUGAAAGGUGCAAUUGCACCACUACCAGAUGGACCUGCGUUGUAUUAGCUAGUUGGUGGGGUAACGGCUCACCAAGGCGACGAUACAUAGCCGACCUGAGAGGGUGAUCGGCCACACUGGGACUGAGACACGGCCCAGACUCCUACGGGAGGCAGCAGUAGGGAAUCUUCGGCAAUGGACGGAAGUCUGACCGAGCAACGCCGCGUGAGUGAAGAAGGUUUUCGGAUCGUAAAGCUCUGUCGUAAGAGAAGAACGAGUGUGAGAGUGGAAAGUUCACACUGUGACGGUAUCUUACCAGAAAGGGACGGCUAACUACGUG
RNAcentral lists this ribosomal RNA (495 nucleotides) under uncultured bacterium. RNAcentral describes it as "partial 16S ribosomal RNA". It matches the Rfam family "Bacterial small subunit ribosomal RNA", at positions 28 to 507 of the family's 1533-position model. The record is from RNAcentral.